AGAGUUUGAUCCUGGCUCAGGACGAACGCUGGCGGCGUGCCUAACACAUGCAAGUCGAGCGGGACACUUCGGUGUCUAGCGGCGGACGGGUGAGUAACACGUGGGUAACCUGCCUUGUAGAGGGAGAUAGCCUUCCGAAAGGAAGAUUAAUACCGCAUAACAUUGAGAUAUCGCAUGAUAUUUCAAUCAAAGGAGCAAUCCGCUACAAGAUGGACCCGCGGCGCAUUAGCUAGUUGGUGAGGUAAAAGCUCACCAAGGCGACGAUCAGUAGCCGAUCUGAGAGGAUGAACGGCCACACUGGAACUGAGACACGGUCCAGACUCCUACGGGAGGCAGCAGUGGGGAAUAUUGCACAAUGGGGGAAACCCUGAUGCAGCAACGCCGCGUGGAGGACGAAGGCCUCCGGGUUGUAAACUCCUGUCUUUUGGGACGAAUAAUGACGGUACCAAAGGAGGAAGCCACGGCUAACUACGUGCCAGCAGCCGCGGUAAUACGUAGGUGGCAAGCGUUGUCCGGAAUUAUUGGGCGUAAAGGGCGCGUAGGCGGCGUCUUAAGUCAGAUGUGAAAACCCCGGGCUCAACUUGGGAACUGCAUCUGAUACUGGGACGCUAGAGUGCAGGAGAGGUAAGUGGAAUUCCUAGUGUAGCGGUGAAAUGCGUAGAUAUUAGGAGGAACACCAGUGGCGAAGGCGACUUACUGGACUGUAACUGACGCUGAGGCGCGAAAGCGUGGGGAGCAAACAGGAUUAGAUACCCUGGUAGUCCACGCUGUAAACGAUGGAUACUAGGUGUGGGAGGUAU
Molecule: ribosomal RNA, 800 nt
Filed under: uncultured bacterium
Lineage: Bacteria
Description: bacterial SSU rRNA
Rfam family: Bacterial small subunit ribosomal RNA
Source: RNAcentral